RNAcentral lists this ribosomal RNA (253 nucleotides) under uncultured bacterium. RNAcentral describes it as "partial 16S ribosomal RNA". It matches the Rfam family "Bacterial small subunit ribosomal RNA", at positions 524 to 776 of the family's 1533-position model. The record is from RNAcentral.
UACGUAGGUGACCAGCGUUGUCCGGAUUUACUGGGCGUAAAGAGCGCGCAGGCGGUCGUUCAAGUCGAGUGUGAAAGCCCCCGGCUCAACUGGGGAGGGUCACUCGAUACUGAUCGACUUGAAGGCAGGAGAGGGAAGCGGAAUUCCCGGUGUAGUGGUGAAAUGCGUAGAUAUCGGGAGGAACACCAGUGGCGAAGGCGGCUCACUGGCCCGGUACUGACGCUGAGGUGCGAAAGCGUGGGGAGCAAACAGG